UCGGAUAUGGUGUAAUGGCUAACAUUGCCGCCUCUCAUUUGAUUAACACUUAUUUCGCGGCAGCUCGGGGUUCGAUUCCCCGUAUCCGAA
This is a transfer RNA of Termitomyces sp. J132, 90 nucleotides long. It matches the Rfam family "tRNA". Rfam says of the family: Transfer RNA (tRNA) molecules are approximately 80 nucleotides in length. The record is from Rfam. Lineage: Eukaryota; Fungi; Basidiomycota; Agaricomycetes; Agaricales; Lyophyllaceae.